This is a non-coding RNA of Drosophila takahashii, 263 nucleotides long. The record is from RefSeq and is a predicted model, not a curated record. NCBI's taxonomy places the organism in Eukaryota, Metazoa, Arthropoda, Insecta, Diptera, Drosophilidae.
CGAUUCCGCGAUAGCCACCGGUUUUCAGCUUUAUUGGCUCUGCUGUGUUGUGUUGUAUUUUAUUGUUCAGUGCCGCCCGAUUGCCGUUUUCAUAGUGCCCGACGCACUCAAUAAACAUCAACGUAUACGUAUCAUACGUAUUCCCUUAUCAGAGACCGAAAAAAGGUCGUGUCAAAGCUGACUGAAGAUGAUCUCGGCGAGAAGCUGCCUCCUUCUGGGCCUUCUGGCACUGACAAACUCCGGCCGACUAGCAGUUGGGGAUG